RNAcentral lists this ribosomal RNA (484 nucleotides) under uncultured bacterium. Its description in RNAcentral is "partial 16S ribosomal RNA". It matches the Rfam family "Bacterial small subunit ribosomal RNA", at positions 30 to 507 of the family's 1533-position model. The record is from RNAcentral.
AUUGAACGCUGGCGGCAGGCCUAACACAUGCAAGUCGAGCGGAUGAAGGGAGCUUGCUCCUGGAUUCAUCGGCGGACGGGUGAGUAAUGCCUAGGAAUUUGCCUGGUAUUGGGGGAUAACGUCCGGAAACGGGCGCUAAUACCGCAUAAGUCCUGUUGGAGAAAGUGGGGGGACUUCGGACCUCACGCUAUCAGAUGAGCCUAGGUCGGAUUAGCUAGUUGGUGGGGUAAAGGCCUACCAAGGCCACGAUCCGUAACUGGUCUGAGAGGAUGAUCAGCCACACUGGAACUGAGACACGGUCCAGACUCCUACGGGAGGCAGCAGUGGGGAAUAUUGGGCAAUGGGCGAAAGCCUGAUCCAGCCAUGCCGCGUGUGUGAAGAAGGUCUUCGGAUUGUAAAGCUCUUUAAGUUGGGAAGAAGAGCAGUAAGUUAAUAUCUUGCUGUUUUGACGGUACCAACAGAGUAAGCACCGGCUAACUUCGUG